RNAcentral lists this transfer RNA (80 nucleotides) under Agaricus bisporus var. burnettii. It matches the Rfam family "tRNA". From Rfam's summary of the family: Transfer RNA (tRNA) molecules are approximately 80 nucleotides in length. Their secondary structure includes four short double-helical elements and three loops (D, anti-codon, and T loops). Lineage: Eukaryota; Fungi; Basidiomycota; Agaricomycetes; Agaricales; Agaricaceae. RNAcentral also lists the same sequence under 1 other name. The record is from Rfam by way of RNAcentral.
GGCCGCCUGGCGAAAUGGCAUCGCGUCUGACUACGAUAUUUGUAAUCAGGAGAUUGCAGGUUCGACCCCUGCGGUGGUCA